UGACCUCGGAUCAGGUAGGGAUACCCGCUGAACUUAAGCAUAUCAAUAAGCGGAGGAGGUUGGUUCCAAAAGGGAUUCCCCUAGUAAUGGCGAACGAAGAGGGAACAGCCCAUCCUUAAAUCGUGUUGGUUAAACCGGCAUGAGAUGUGGGGUGAAGGUGGUACUCCUGGGUGUAGCAUGAACAAAAUCGUUUUUAGACAACUCAUUCCUUUGGGAUGCAAUACAAGGUGAUAGCCCUGUUUAUCGUUCAUGUGUCGUAUGACUCUACAUUCAACUGCGAGUGCUUCCUACGAGUAGGAUUGUUUAAAAGUACAAUCUGAAUAAGGGAGAUAAACUUCUUCCAAGGCUAAAUACUAAUACAAGAGACCAAUAGCGAACAAGUACUGUAAAGGAAAGUUGAAAAGUACACUGUUAAGUGGGUGAAAAAGCGUCUGAAAUUAUGAAGAAUUAAGCGUAAUCAGCGCACUAUAGGAGACUAGAGGCUCAAUACGGUCUUCGGAUCGUACUACUCCUCUAGUUCGAUCAACGUCGUUCUACUUUAGUGUAGAACGUUCAACUGAAGGAAAACCAACUUAAGGGUAUGUCGUCAAAUUCUUGGUGACACCCUGGUUUCAUUCCUGUAGAGCUCUGCUUUAUAGGGUGUGCUAGGGUUAAUUGAGUUUUGGCGGCAUAUCUAAUGUAAGAGUUUUUUUCCUCAACGUUGAUUCAAAUGGUGGCUGAAACCGACCCGUCUUGAAACACGGACCAAGGAGUAAAGCGUAUGUGCAAGCAGAAGCCAUUGAAAUGGUGUAUGCAUAAUGAAAGUAAGCUAGUAUUAAUAGUAAUAUGAUAUACUGACCAAUCCAGUAUUUCAGUGAGCAUGUCGAUCUGAAAGUGGAAUUGAGUUAGAGUAUAUAUGCUUUGACCCGAAAGAUGGUGAUCUAUACUUGAAUUGGCUGAAGUCAGAGGAAACUCUGAUGGAGGGUCUCGAACGGUGCUGACGUGCAAAUCGCUUGUCAGACUUGAGUAUAGGGGCGAAAGACUCAUCGAACCAUCUAGUAGCUGGUUCCUUCCGAAAUAUCCCUCAGGAUAGCUAGAGUCUAUAUUAG
This 1088-nucleotide non-coding RNA is filed under the name Corchorus olitorius. RNAcentral's name for it is "Eukaryotic large subunit ribosomal RNA". It matches the Rfam family "Eukaryotic large subunit ribosomal RNA", at positions 1 to 998 of the family's 3401-position model. The record is from Rfam by way of RNAcentral. Lineage: Eukaryota; Viridiplantae; Streptophyta; Magnoliopsida; Malvales; Malvaceae.